CUUGAAUCUAAACAUCACACAGGCUGAACAUCACAAUUUAGAGCUCUUCUCAGAUGGCCAUGUGAUAUCUUGAUUCCUCCUGGAUAAAGUUGAAGUGUUAAUGACCCCAUCCCUCUGUUGAAGCCUUCUUUCUGCAGACAAAAAACCGCUGCAUUCAUCUGCCUCCACCAACCUCAGUGCAGAUAACACUCAGCAAAACACUGCAUCCUCCAGGAUGGAGGCGGGGAAGUGAGAAAGCCAGCAAACGUGCAUCUGGAUGGUGAAUGCAGAAACACUGAAGCAAGGUAUGUUGUAAAAACAAAAACAACACAGGAACACCUGACCCACAGCCAGGAGCCUCCCCGUUACAUUGGGAACAGCCCUCAUCAGCAUCUCACACUGAGGCAGCUUGAGCUGACGAAGCCUUUGGAAAGCACUGAUUCCUAUGUGUCCUGGAGCACAGCAAGCACAGAUGAUGAUGAAGCCAUCACAGCUGGUUACAGCUUUAUUGCAUGAGCUUGAGCUGCCCAUUCUUUGGUGCCAGUGGAUGGCAUGAUGCUUUGAAAAGGAGCCCAUCAUUGGACAUCAUGGAACCUAAUUGGCACGGUUUGUCACAGCAUCAACACUGGGUAGCUUAGCCUGUAGAGCUGAGGGACCACCUCAGCCUCUCAAAAACUACUGGCACAUGCUGUCUUGCUCUUUCAACACUGCACUGAGAUUUUCAUAUUUCUCCAGCCAAUCUUCCAUUCCCUCUCUUGCAAGGAACAGCAAGAAGGGCAUGUAAAAGGCAAUAGCGAGGCUGGAAAAUCCCAAGUAAGGCUCUACCCCUGGCUGAAGGUCAGGAGAGUGGCCAUAAAUGCUGGCCAAGGCUGGAUCAUGAGAGGCUCCUCAGGGAUGGGGAGCCGUGGACAGAUGUGCGCUCCUGGAUCCAGCUGUGCCACUGGACGUGCUCCCCCCUCCAGACAUUUCUCCCCACCCUCCAGAUGCUCCAGCCCCUGCAGCACAAAGCAGCGUCGCUCACUGGGGUGAACUCUCCAUUGACAGAAUGUUGCAGAGCAUCAUUUCCAGCUAAGGCCAGUAAUGAGUAGCUGGGGCAUGGUGACAUUUCCAGCUGACAGCCCUCUGUGGAAAGAACGUCUGCCUGUGGCUGGAGAAUAACCAAGGUGGCCAAGGAGGAGCGGUUUGAGACAGUUCAGGAUUGCUGGGAGGAGGUCGGCGAGCCAUGCAGCAAAACUAGUUGCAUUUCAUAGAAAAGUGUAAGAAGGGCUUUUAUAGCCAAAGUUGUAGCAGGGAAGCAGGCAAGGAGGGAAGUGAAACUAUGAGCAAACCAAAGGGGCUCGUACUCAGAGCCCCCCUCAAAAUCCCGUCCCCUUAGUUCCCAAAAACGUGUUUUGGGAAAUUUUAGAUUUAAGAAAUCAAUCUGUGUAGGCUGCAGACAUCCUCUGGUAUUCAUCCUCAGUUGUUAAUGGAAGGAUUAGUUAAUGAACAUUUUGAUCCGUAGGUGGCUAUUUUAUAAAUUUUUGGACAACGUGGUCCUGAGAGGCAGAAAGGAAAUGUGGUGGUGAUUUAGAGCAGAAAAGGAUAGAAUAUAAUUCUGGCACUCACCAGCCUAUAAAUAUCGUAGAACAAAUAUUUAAGAAAAAGUCAUGAUGAAAUGUUUAGAGCUUGGUUCUGUCCACACGAUAGUGUCAACAGGGAGAAACUGCAGAAGCCAGAUGCUGAGUAAAAUUACCAGGAGACAAGAGUUGGACUUGAAGAAUGAUGGGCACAGAAAACUUUUCUUCUUUUCCAACUUUUUUUUUUUUUGGUGGGAAGAGGUAUAACGUUAGAGAAUGACAGAGCCAGAAGAUGAAGGGAGCACACAUUUAUGAACAUGUGUUUUUGUUUUGAUUAAUGUAUUCUGCUUCUUUGUCUUAGGAAAUAAGAAAUUAGAAUAAAAAAAAUGUGUUGGUCUGAAACACAGUUUGUGCAAACUGAAAACACAUUGAAAUGCAGUAACUAAUCCCAAACAAGAGCAAGCUGCGUUGAACAAGGCGUGUCCACCAGGGUAGGACAAGAGUCAGGAUCAAGUUUCGUUAACAACUUUGCUGAUGAUCCGAGAGGACAGCACCAGUAUAAAUUGAAAUUCACAGAGGACAGUAAAUUAGAAGCAGAUUAGUAAGUAAGCAGGAGUUUUCUGUGGUUUAGAUCUACUUCUGUUCCAAACACCUGGAAAUUUCCACCCGAUAUGAAGAGGUAUUUCAUGCACUGAAAAAUCUCAUCUCAUUGAGUGACAUUUUCAUUACUCACCACCUAGCCCACUCAGUCUCUUUGUAACCCUCUGAAUGUACUUCUGGGUAUCUUUCACAGGUCUUUCCACAGGUCCAACCCUUCUCUUUGUUAACUUGUGUGACAUUUAGAGACACGUUUCUGGAACACACGUGCACCCAGUGCUUGCAGCCGCCAUCUCCAGGUUUGCUACCUGCCCACUUUCCCCACAUGCAAAGAAAAUCACUUGAAGUCACUCCAGUGAUGGAGUGGUGCGCAUUUGAAUGUAUGCCCCAUCUCCACAUGGCCUCCAGCGCUCUUAUCUGCUAAUAC
RNAcentral lists this long non-coding RNA (2559 nucleotides) under Gallus gallus (chicken). Its description in RNAcentral is "lncRNA (ENSGALG00010007768.1)". The record is from RNAcentral. Lineage: Eukaryota; Metazoa; Chordata; Aves; Galliformes; Phasianidae.